GUUCAAUCGCCAUGGAGUCAAAGUCUAUUACAGUCUUUCGGUAUGCGAUUGACUCCAUGGGAAGGCUAUCUGGGUUAAGUCCAUUCGUGCGUUUAAAACUCCUGAACGGCCAGUGUUCGUAUACUUCUGUCGAUUGAGAAGGGAGGUCGGCGGCUUUGGCUGUGUUCGGUGGAAAAAGUGUCCGUUUUCAGUUCCAUGAAAUCAAUGCCGAACACCGCUGGUCUUUCGCAUGGUUUAAAAUGUCCGCCGCCUCGUGGUCGACAUACGAACGACGACCACCCUGUAUUCGGUUUUAAUUAAGAAGUGUCUGCGGUUAACCACAACGUUCUAAUUGGGAUCAAGAGGUUAACCAGCAGCACACUUCUCUUCUGGGUGGCUG
RNAcentral lists this long non-coding RNA (379 nucleotides) under Pelobates cultripes (western spadefoot toad). Lineage: Eukaryota; Metazoa; Chordata; Amphibia; Anura; Pelobatidae. The record is from RNAcentral.